CCUACGGGCGGCAGCAGUGGGGAAUAUUGGACAAUGGGGGGAACCCUGAUCCAGCCAUGCCGCGUGUGUGAAGAAGGCCCUCGGGUUGUAAAGCACUUUCAGUGAGGAAGAACGCCUGGUGGUGAAUACCCAUCAGGAAAGACAUCACUCACAGAAGAAGCACCGGCUAACUCCGUGCCAGCAGCCGCGGUAAUACGGAGGGUGCGAGCGUUAAUCGGAAUUACUGGGCGUAAAGCGCGCGUAGGUGGCUUGAUAAGCCGGUUGUGAAAGCCCCGGGCUCAACCGGGGAACGGCAUCCGGAACUGUCAAGCUAGAGUGCAGGAGAGGAAAGUAGAAUUCCCGGUGUAGCGGUGAAAUGCGUAGAGAUCGGGAGGAAUACCAGUGGCGAAGGCGGCCUUCUGGACUGACACUGACACUGAGGUGCGAAAGCGUGGGUAGCAAACAGGAUUAGAUACCCGAGUAGUC
RNAcentral lists this ribosomal RNA (465 nucleotides) under Vreelandella stevensii. RNAcentral describes it as "partial 16S ribosomal RNA". It matches the Rfam family "Bacterial small subunit ribosomal RNA", at positions 338 to 795 of the family's 1533-position model. The record is from RNAcentral. Lineage: Bacteria; Pseudomonadati; Pseudomonadota; Gammaproteobacteria; Oceanospirillales; Halomonadaceae.